RNAcentral lists this transfer RNA (71 nucleotides) under Marmota monax (woodchuck). RNAcentral's name for it is "tRNA.Ala". The record is from RNAcentral. Lineage: Eukaryota; Metazoa; Chordata; Mammalia; Rodentia; Sciuridae.
GAAUGUAGCUCAGUGAUUGAACACUUGCCUAGCAUGCAGGAAGCCUUGGGUUCAAUCCCCAGAACCAUACA